CUACCCAUUGUCUAGAUUCUACUCUAGACCUUUUUUCCCCCCUCCUCAUUCUCUCUCUCUUUCUCUUGUUUUCUGCUUAUAGUUGCUAUCUAUGAGCAUCCAUUUGUAUUCAUGGAGAUUUAUUGGGAUUGACAAAGUCAUAUUUCUCAUAAAAGCAUAUCUACAAUUAAUGACUUAUUCUGGUCCCUUACAAUUUAGAUAAGAAAAUUAUUCAACAGAGUUAUGCUAAAUCCUGCUGUUCAGAGAGCAAGCAUGAAUAAAUUAAUCAUCAGAAAAUUUAAAUUUGGGCUCCCAUUCUGAAAAUUACUCACCAUGGGAUUUUGGGGGUAAAUCCUUUGAUCUCUUUGGAAAUUGGUUUCUAAAUCUCUAAAAUGGGAAUAAUAAUGCCUGUUCCAUCUCAGUGAUAUUCAAAUAAUGAUGCACAUGCAAAUCCAUGAAACAAGUAUAGAGUUACUCAAGGCUUCUGAAACUUAGUCAUUAUCCCAUAGCAAAUGAAUCAUCAAUUUCCAAAUUCUGACCAUAUCUUUCCUCAUAUCUUAUUUCAUUCCAUUUCUUCCCAUCUCUGCUACUACAAUUAUACCAGUUCUUUAUUUUAGGGCCUCAUCCUAUAUUAUUUGCAUCAUUACACUGUUUAAUCCAUACUAUUCCACCUAUGGAAUUUUCCCUCCUAGCACGUUACCCUGCCUGUAGCUUCUUCUGAAUUCUUCAGUAAGCCUAUGCACAACAUAGGAUGUUGACUUAUUCAGCAUCCAUUUCUAUUUCUGCCUGCUUCUAACCUCCAUUCUGCCUGCAUCUACCUCACUUGCUGCCAGCAUACGUACAAUAAAAAUUAAGUUCACAUCGCAGACAUGUACUGGGCAGGUGUCCGGAUAGCUUUUGCUUUCCUCAGGGAGGGAAGAGUUAGUGGGCUAGUUUCUGCUACCAUUUUUCCUCUUCCUGAUUAUUCCUCUGUUGAGCAAAUACUCAGAGCAUCCAUAGACUUCUUUAAGUCAUAGGAAAACCAAGAGGAAUCGAAAGCAUGGCAUCUAAUACAGAUAAAUUGUUGAGUCAAUGCCUGCUGGCCUGCUAUGUCUGGAUUUUUUGAUAGGUUAAAAACAACAGAUCAUGAAUUGUUGAAGUUGGAUAUUUGAUUGUUCCUUCUGAUUUUAUUCAUUCAUUUAUUUAUUUAUUUAUUUAUUUAUUUACUUACUUAUUGUCUUUUUGCCAUUUCUUGGGCCGCUCCUGCAGCAUAUGGAGGUUCCCAGGCUAGGGGUCUAAUUGGAGCUGUAGCUGCCGGCCUACGCCAGAGCCAUAGCAACUUGGGAUCCGAGCCGCAUCUGCGACCUACACCACAGUUCACAGCAACGCUGGAUCCUUGACCCACUGAGCAGGGCCAGGGACGAACCCACAACCUCAUGGUUCCUAGUUGGAUUCCUUAACCACUGCGCCACGAUGGGAACUCCUGUUCCUUCUCAUUUUAAUUGAUAAUAUUCUCUAUUGCCUCCAGGAUAAAAUUCAAAUAUUUUUGUUUGAUAUGCAAAAUCUUUUAUGUUUCCUGUGAAACUUUUCCAGCUUCCUAAGCUACAUCAUCUAUGCUAAAAUCCUUACAUUAAUACAGGUUCUUGAACAUACUUGUGCCUUCAAAAGUGCUGGGGUUUUUUGGGCAAUUUUGUUUUACUUUGGAAGAAUGUCUCUUUUUCCCCAGUUUUUCCUCAGGUGCCAAUUAUCCACCAUCAAGAUUUUGGUCAGAUAUUUUAUUCUUUAAGAACAGUUGCAUGUAGACACCUUAUAUGAGGGUACUCUCAUGAGAUAAACCUGAAAGGAAAUGAGAAAAGCAAAACUGAAUGGAAAGAGAAACUGUCCCUCAACCAAUCAGACAUGUUAUAAAUCUGAAAUGUUCUUCAAAGUUGUACCGAAUGGAGGCCAGGAGACCAGACUCUGGGUCCCACAUAACCUUGGGUAAAAGAGUUCUAUGUAUCUGAGGGAAAUUCUCUAUGAUGGAGGCAAUUGUAAAGGAUGCUUCAGCUGCUGCCUAUCCUCGUAGGUAGGAAUUGAGUGUGUUGAAAUUGAGGGCAUCCGGAUGGAGCAGGAAAGUAUCCAUGACUUUGUUUCUCUGCGCUCCCAUUGGCAGUGCUGUGCACUGUUCAGUGUAAACGUUUAUGUGUUGGUUUUCCUUCACUAGAUUGUGAGCUCCUUGAAAGGAGUCAUUUCUCACACUUUGUUACACACUUUGAUCCCAAAACAAAGCCAGGUGUGAGGAAGGCACACUUACUGAAUAAAAAUAUUAUCUAGAAAAGUACACAGGAUUACAAUUUUGUGGAAGAAAUUUUAAUAUUUUAGAGGUGAACGAAGAGGAAUUAAUAGUAACAAUGAAUGCAGAGGAAUUAUUUCUCAAUAUUCUAAUCUGAAAUAAAUGUCAUGUUCAAUAGAAAAAAAUUCGUGGUAGUACAGAUGUCUUUCAUGAGUACUUCACCUAUAUGGUUUAAAGAGAUGUAUUAAUACUUUAUUACAUAGCAGCUAGUUAAAUUUUUAGUGAAGCUAUCAUGUCACCUAUCUGUAAGAGCAACCAUCUUAAACUGAAUUAAGCAGUGGUAAUAAUGCUCUACAACUUACCUUCUCUGUUUGGAAAAUCAAAACAACUUUAACAGAAAAGAAAAUAAUAAAUAAAAAUUCUUAAUACAUUUAUUAAGUUAAUUUGUUUUGACUUAAUUGGCAUACUCUUUGCUGUUGUCUGCAAUUACCAAAUUAUCUGACAAUACAUUGAACAGCAAAAAAUGGUUUAUUCUAUUCAUUAAGAGUCACACCGGGACUGUGGAGAAGCUCAAUAUUAUCACACUCUCAAGUGUCUUCUAUCCUCUACCUUGCCAAUCUUAGCAAUUAUUUUAUUGCCUCAUGCUGCUACAACUCCCCAUAUCAUGUCCAUACAUAAGGAUGGAAGAAGGGAGACAGGGGGUGGUCAUAGAUUUCUCUUCCUCUUUUAUGAGACAGAUGAAGUUUUUCCUCCAGCUCCCCAACAUACUUCAGCUAUAACUCCUGCCAGGCUUCUAUUUACAUCUCACUGGCUGGUCCUAGACAUAAGGGAGACUGACAAGAUGAGUAGUGCUUUUUUUCUAGCAUCUAUAUUAUGAGGUAACUAAUAUGGAGGAGAGGUUGGUGAUGGGUAUUUGCCUACUCAACAAGGAGGAUCUACUAUACUUGAAGAACUGCUAUUUGCAUGACUCCAAUGAUGAGUUUUUCUAAGAGCAUUGGAAACAAAAGAUGGAUUAGAAAAGACCAAGAGCGCCUAGGAAGCUGAAAUAAUUUUGUUUUUAUCUUUGUAUUCCCACUGCCUCUCACUGUGCCUUGCAUUUAGGAGACAAUAAAUGCUUGAAUUAUCAGUAAUCAUAUCAUUCUUCUAAAUGUUCACUGGAGGGGUAUGUGUUACUGAUGACUUUUAUAUUUUAUAUGAGAGCCUAGAUGCAAGUAUAAAAUCACUUCAACUGUACAAGUAGAGAUUAAAUUUAAUGCUCCAAAGAGAAACUCAGCACAUGUUUAAGAAAGUCGAUAUUUAGAAAUUGAAUUUUAAAAAAGAAUGAAAUAAAUGUUGAAGACUAGUAAUCUGCUUUGUGAAUGUCAUAGUAUUUGUUAAAAUUCCACAUACGUAUUUCAGUAGUGGAGUGACAGUUCACCAAAUGAAUUAGAGCACCAUAUAAUUAUCCUUAAGUAAUGCAAACGAAGAUCCCAUAUGACUAGUGAUAGUGGCAUAUAAUGAUAGUGUCAUCUCUCCAUUUAGGGUACAACAUGCCAUCAGAGAAGAUGAGAUGAAUCCUAAAUGGGUGAGUAAUGCCCCAUAUUACAAACUUAACAAAUUAUGACAUCAGGCUGAUACCCAAUCCAUCUGUUAGCUUGCAGGACAGAGGACAUAUUGUUACGGUGAUUAGGCCAGGUGGUACCUCAUUUGAUAUCACAGCUGUGCUAAACUUCCACUCAGAAACCUAAAACCAUGUGAAACAGCCCUUGUUUGGGGUCACACUGAAAAGAAAGAGCAGCAGCUGGGGUAUAUUCUUAACAAAUUCUGUGCAGAGAUUCUUUAGCUGAAAUUAAAAAUAAAAAUGUUUGCAAUAUGUUAUGAGGAAUGAAGAUUUAAAGUCUAGAUUCUGCUAUUUGCUUCCGGAUUAUUAUAUGGUAUAAUUUUUGAAUUUCUGAUCAAUUCAUUCAGUCAUGCAAAGCCAAAGGCGGUUAUGGCAUAUGUAGAAUCUGUUAUUCGACAAAUAGUGAAAUGAUUCAGAUAAAGAACGGAUUUGAGUUAUGGGACAGAGUAUGCUCUUAAUAAAUGUUAGUUUUUAAUUUUAUUCUUAAAUGUUGUUAAUAUCUAGUUUCUGAGUCUCCUGUCCAAAGUCUGUCUUACCUUUAGUUAUUUAAUCCAGCCUUUCUGAAAAUAGUUCUGUCAAACAUAUUCAUAUGUGUGUGACUAUAUAUGUACAUAUAAAAUGAAGAAACCUCUCCAGUUAGAUGUUGUCUUCUGAUUUGGAGGGAGAAUGAUACUACCAUUGCUUUGAUAAGGUGGAUCACAGAUUAAUGGCCAUCAUAGUUUAUCCAAAAAUUGCCUUUGUGUGAAUUUUUAAUGAUGUGCCCUGCACCGAUAUGGAGCCCUGUGGGUUUCAGUCUUGAGGAGGGAAGUCGUGGCUGAAUUUUCAGCAUUCUCUCAUCUUCCUGGACGAAAGCCUUAGACAAAGCCCAGCCUGUGUUACCUUACCCAGUGCUCCUUAUUAGUGCAAUAAACUGCCUGCCUGAAUCAAAUGCCAAAACAUGAAAGCCAGAAAUCAGUGGUAAUUUUCUCAUAGUAAAAUUUACUCAUGUUUAGUAAGGGAUAUGCAGGAUUAAAAGUGCCAGAUUGACAGAAAAUUUGUUUCACCUGUUUAUUUACAUAGAUAUGUUAAUUGUGAAGGGAUUCAGCGGCCUCUUCCACUUGAGGUCUAUAUCCUGAAAUUGCUCUGGCCUACAAAUUCAAUCAUAUCAUAUUUAGCAAAGGACAUCUUUAUUAAAUUAUUUUAGAAAUGAGAAAGAAAAGGGCCAGAUGACUCACAAAGCAGUAUGGGCCUCCUUCAUAAUUUAUGUUAGAAGACUUUCUUUGUACUAUUUACAAGUAAUCCUAAAGAUCUAAAACAUAUAGUAAAUUAUACUUUUGCUGUGACUUCGGGACUGGUGGUUGAGACCAGUCAAGCAUCCGUGUUGCCACACAGUUCUUUUUUAUAUUACUCGUCCAUAUGUGGAAUAAUUCUCAUAAGAUGUUGAAAACAAAAACAAGAGCUUUCUCUCUCUCUCUGUGUGUGUGUGUGUGUGUGUGUGUGUUGGGGAGAGGUGGGGAGGAAGAGGGAGAGUUGAGAUAGUUCCAGUAAAAAGUGAAUCUAAAAUGUUAGCAAUUUAAGAAAUGAGUACUUAAUAAUGUGAUAUUUCUUAAUCUUUAGAAAAAGUAACCAAAAUGUUAAAUAAGGCAUAAGGAUGACUGUAUGUCUUUCAAUGUCAUAGGAACACAAUGUCUAACAGAACUUUCCAAUGAUUAUUUUAUUCCUAAGGAGAUUGUGCCUUAGUUUGUUGUUCUCUUGAUGAGAAGCUAGAUUUUAUUAUAUUUUAUGCUGACUUAUUGGUUUUGUCCAUACUUACCAUGGAUAGAAAUAGAUACUAGUGUUUACUGUUGUAUUGCCCUGUAAGGCAUUAACCUAUUUAUCUUUAACUUAGCAAACUUAUUUUAAUGUGACACCCCUCCUCAUUCAUUAUAUAUAUCUGUGUCUCAAAUACACAUUGAACUGGCUUUACCAUUGUGCAGUUCCCUCAUUAAUGAGUUGACAAAGACUUUGGCAUAUAUUUAUUCUCUAUUUGAAUGAAAGUCACAUUUUAAACUUCUCCAAAAAUAUGCUUUGAGAAUAAAAUUCUCCUUAUGGAAAAAAAAUGAAAACAUCUUCCUCUGCAUGAGUCUUUAUAUUGAUGUUAAACAUAAUAGUAAUAAAUUUCAUAUAUUACAUUAUCAAUGCUUAACUUUAAAAUAGUGAAUUACUAGCAUUUUGUUAAACAGUGCUUAAAUUCAUUAUUAUUUCAGACAUAUAAAAUAUGCAAAUUCUUAACAUCUAAGUCUUUCCAUUUUUUUUUCUCCACUGGAUUAGGUGUUGGUAUGAUAGCUUCCCAAUGUAUUUUGUAGGAAGAAUUAAUUCAGAAUAAAUAAAAUUUCACUAAUGAAGGUAAAUAUAUAGACUUUAUUCUCCAAACCAGGAAAAUUAAGAGAGUAUUGCUCACUAGCAAGAAGCUGAAGAAAUUUUAUUGUAAAAUUUAUGAAGUAACAUUUUCUAACUUGAUUUGAAUGUUAAAUCCCAAAGAAAUAUAGCAUGUAUUUUGCUAUGACUACAAGUGAUAUUUUUUUAAAUGAAGUUCUGAAAUGUCAUCUGUACUUUUUAAAUUCUCACGAAUAGUUUUUGAAAUCCUGUUCCAGUAUAUU
RNAcentral lists this long non-coding RNA (6448 nucleotides) under Sus scrofa (pig). RNAcentral's name for it is "lncRNA (ENSSSCG00000060754.1)". Lineage: Eukaryota; Metazoa; Chordata; Mammalia; Artiodactyla; Suidae. The record is from RNAcentral.